UCGAUUUGCUACUGUACCCGCGAGGGUUGGUGAGUACACGGUGGAGACCGCUGGCGCUAAGUCAGAGGAAGGAGUGGUCGACGGUAGGUCAGUAUGCCCCGAAUAUCCCGGGCUACACGCGGGCUACAAUGGACUGGACAAUGGGUAACGACUCCGAAAGGUGAGGUCAAUCUCUUAAACCAGUUCUUAUUCCGGAUUGAGGGCUGUAACUCGCCCUCAUGAAGAUGGAAUCCGUAGUAAUCGCAUUUCAAAACAGUGCGGUGAAUACUUCCCUGCUCCUUGCACAAAA
Molecule: ribosomal RNA, 289 nt
Filed under: uncultured archaeon
Lineage: Archaea
Description: partial 16S ribosomal RNA
Rfam family: Archaeal small subunit ribosomal RNA
Source: RNAcentral